CCUGUAAAAGCUCUAUCUCCUUGGAAACUUGCCGUCGGCGGCGCCCGCCGCUGGUUCUUUACAACCGGAAGCGGCGGCAACAGAAGAGGGGUCGAGGGCCGUGCGAGAGACCAUCUUGUUAGGCGAGGGGACGACAGAGGGCGGUUUGGGAGCGAGCUACGCAGUUCUUUUGGCAGGGGCUUGGUGGGGCCAGACAGAACAGGAGUGGCGCUGGGCGCGCGAGGUCGGCGGCCGGUACCCACGGUACCACGGAGGCGCGCGAGCGGCGGCGAGAUCGCGAGCGCGAGACAGGAGGUGUAUAGUAGGGACGGGUACGCAGGAGGUAGCCGCUCGCAGACUUCGGCUCAUGGGGCAUAGGAACGCUUCUGCAGGUCUCGAUGAUGCCCCCCGACCUCCCGAAGAGGCCACUGCCCGACUACCGCUUCGAGCCGCGGCAGCAGAGCGGAGUGCGGAGUGACGCGAUGUUUCUACAUACCCUCCGCGAGUUCUAAGAGCUACGUCGACUGCGUCUGGUGGGUCUUCGCAGGAGACUUCACUAGCUCUAUAUGAGCGUCUCUCGACACGGCUUCGAGAACCGUCCGUUCGGCCUACCUACCUUGUCUCUUGUGGAGACCGGCGCUAGUAUGCCCGAUUUUGCGGCAGGAAGAGAUUGGCUAGACGUGUUGUAAGCAGGACGCCUACGGUUACACUUAAGCAGGUCCCCUUUGUUCAUAAUACCUCCUACACGACGCUGCAGCUUUUUUACACGUUCCGGUCGUUUAGCACUUCGACGUGGACUGUGACUUUGUCUGUCACUUUCUACCCGUGGGGGAAAAGUCCACGCACCUCUACAUCGAUCCAGGGACUACAUGUACCGACAUUCGAUACCUAGACCUGUCUUUCUACGUCGAGGUGUAAACCUUGAAAGACUAAGCGGAUCAUAAGUUUCCUCCUCCUACCCAGAGGAAAGUCGAGAAGAUGUUACCUUACUUGAUCUGGGAGGUAGCUCUAGUCUCGUUGCAGCCUUACUAUCUCAAACGUCGGAAAUGGUCGUGUUAGCUUUAGGAAAACAGCUAGUAGGUCUCAUACGAUUAGAUUAUACCUCCUUGUGUCGAUCUUUUUAAGCUUACACUGAGUUUUUUUAUCACUUUCCGAACCCAGUUACUCAAGGUGAUGUUUUAUACUCUUACUCCACAGUUGUUUAAUGAUCAAUACACUACGUUGUAUACUAUCAAGUUUCGUCAAUAUUUCCCUUGAUUCCUCUUAAAUUAGUAUCUCGGACGGUAGAGACGGUUACAAGCAAAGUUCCCAAAAGGCUUGCGUCUUAAGUGAAGUUCUUCCCAAUGAGACGUAACUGUGGCAGUGGUGUUGGAAGAAACAGUGACGGUAGCACGAAAGAGUGGUCCUUCGAUGACUCCAUUCUGGGGAAACCAAAACUACUGUUCUACAAAAAUGCACAGCACAACCUAAAUGCAACAACGGUGUACCACCACAGUGACAUAAUAACGCUGCCACCUUUCUCAACCGCUUUACUUUGCUUUUUAGUUGUCGCCUUUCUAGUCGGUUUGAAAUGUCUAAACUGUGUUUGUUAAUCAAUGAGGGAGACAUAAUAUCAUUAUGUCUCCACCAUACAAGAUAUCUGUCUGCGCCUGCCUUGUCAAGCAAGUGCUUAUUUCAAACUUCUAUGAUGUUUCCAAUGUUCUAAUUAUUCUUAUAUUUGUUUCCGACGGAGGUGCAUACAUGGUCAAGUUUAAUUUCGAACUUUCGAGUUUGGGCCACGAGGCCCCUGUGGAGCACCUCUAGGAAGAGGCCGGUCGAAGGCCGCAGCCGUGCCCGAGACACCGGCCGCAUAUACGUCGUGGUCCGCUCACGGUACCGCUCUGUCGGCUCGCGCCAGUUCCGCUUGAACCCGCGGUCCAGGCCCCACAGUGGCCGCUCGACGUCGUGCUAGUACGGCGGGUGGCGGUCGCUCCGGCGGGUGUGAGACUCGGACCGGGCGGCGACGAGCCCGCGGCGGCGGCCCAGCAGCAGCGCCGCGUCCUCGAGCACGGAGGACUACGUUUGCAUCUCGGGGGUCUCAGUCUUCAUCCACCCCGUCAUACGGUACUAGUGCUUGCGAUCCAGCACGCGCGACGACACCGCGCGCGCCAUGUUGGGGGCGCGAUUCAACGGCCACUGCUCGCUCUCCUAGCGGGUCUUGCGGGUAGGCGUGGGCCCGGCGCGGCUCGGGAGCGGAACCGGGUCGACGUGGCAGAAGCCGCCGCCGCACAGACGGCGCUG
This 2259-nucleotide ribosomal RNA is filed under the name Triticum aestivum (bread wheat). Its description in RNAcentral is "partial small subunit ribosomal RNA". Lineage: Eukaryota; Viridiplantae; Streptophyta; Magnoliopsida; Poales; Poaceae. The record is from RNAcentral.